Nerophis ophidion (straightnose pipefish) is the source of this 1400-nucleotide long non-coding RNA. RefSeq lists it as uncharacterized. The transcript has 3 exons. The record is from RefSeq and is a predicted model, not a curated record. Lineage: Eukaryota; Metazoa; Chordata; Actinopteri; Syngnathiformes; Syngnathidae.
AGUGCUGUAUCUAUGGUAUGUUGUCUAACUCCGAAUUAGCUUUUUCCGGCAAGCUGAAUGUGUUAUGUUGCGCCUUACAGAGUGUUUAUACUGGAAUGCUUAUUACACACAGCUGUUGGAAUGUAAUAUUCAUCUUUUAUUUUCUACCAAAUUUGGAGGUGUUGAAAUCGCCAUGUAAUAUCGCUAAUGCUAAUAGUAGCCUGUCUAUGGCAAAUCCAAUGUAAAUUAACAUCAAGCUAGUGCAUUUUGGAAGUUUUAUUUUACGUUUGCACGUUACUUACUUUGGCGGUGUUGAAAAUUGCAACGUUACUACGAGGAAAUUUGUCUGAUUGAUAUUUGGCACCGUUCUAUACCCGGUAGUACUGACGGGUGCCUGAAAGGUUCCGAAGUUGGUACCUAUCCCUAUCGACAAGAUGAGAUUUUGUGUGACUGUACAUUUGAAAUAGCAAGGAUCUACUGUGUGGUAUGGUAGUGACCUGGUGAUGAGCUCCUCUGCGGCGCGGGCGCACAGCUGCACCACGGCGGCCUCCUCCUCCGAGGCCAGGUCCACAGACUGCUGCGGGUAGAGGUGAGGCCGCAGGGGAGGCUUGUCGUACUUCAGCUUGUCCUCCCACGACUUGAGCGUGUUCUCGAAGGCCUGCGGGGAGCGGCAGAGGAGGCAAUGCCACCGUGUUCCGGAGGCACGGCAGCAGAAGACGAUGUUUGCUCACCCGGUCUCUGGUGAGCAUCUGGGCUCUGUUCUUGUGCUGGAGCUUGAUGACUCCAGGCGGCUGGAUCCACGCCUCGCCGUCCACCUGGAUGGGAACGCCCUCGUCGCCCAGGAUGGUGAUCUUGACCGUCCGGCACUGGUUUUUAAACGCGUACAUCAGUGAGGUGUCCACCUUUGACCCAGGUAGUGCGCAGUAAGGGUUCCCACCUGCGCUAUACGGUGAUGUUGCAGCUUGAUGACCCGGGAAACGGCCAUCUGCAUGCUGCCAAACACAGCCACCACCUCCAGGAUCUUAUCGUCAAACGACGGAGCGCAGAAGAUCUGCAAAGGACCAGCAGCCAACUUACGUCGUCCUCCUUGGUGCCGCCCCAGAAGUUGGUCCCGCCCGCGUAGCUGGGAAUGUUCAGGACGGCGAUGCCCUGCAGGCUGGGCAGGGGGAUGUAUUGGCCGUCACACUGCUGGACCUUCUGCUCCAGGUUCUUGUAGGUUCUCUGGAGGAGCUCCUUUGUUCCCAGAACGCCAUACCACAUCAUGUUCUUGGUGCGACUCCUGGGAAAUAAUCAAGAAAAGAUGAAGCACUCGUACCUAGUGAUCUACGUGACAACACAUUUACAAAGUUAUAACCUUGAAUUAUGGCCAACUUAUGUGCAAAAGUAAAUAGGAGUUUUAAAAAACAUUUUUCCUCACCGCC